Molecule: ribosomal RNA, 502 nt
Filed under: uncultured bacterium
Lineage: Bacteria
Description: partial 16S ribosomal RNA
Rfam family: Bacterial small subunit ribosomal RNA
Source: RNAcentral
GACGAACGCUGGCGGCGUGCUUAACACGUGCAAGUCGAACGGUGAAGGGGUCUGCUUUUGUGGGCCCUGGAUGAGUGGCGAACGGGUGAGUAACACGUGAGUAACCUGCCCCCUUCUUCUGGAUAACCGCAUGAAAGUGUGGCUAAUACGGGAUAUUCUGGGUCUGUCGCAUGAUGGGUCUGGGAAAGAUUGCGCCUUUGGGUGUUUUUGGUGGGGGAUGGGCUCGCGGCCUAUCAGCUUGUUGGUGGGGUGAUGGCCUACCAAGGCGGUGACGGGUAGCCGGCCUGAGAGGGUGGACGGUCACACUGGGACUGAGACACGGCCCAGACUCCUACGGGAGGCAGCAGUGGGGAAUAUUGCACAAUGGGCGCAAGCCUGAUGCAGCGACGCCGCGUGAGGGAUGGAGGCCUUCGGGGUGUAAACCUCUUUCGCCAGUGAAGCAGGCCUGCUCCUUGUGGGUGGGUUGACGGUAGCUGGAUAAGAAGCGCCGGCUAACUACGUG